AUUGAACGCUGGCGGCAUGCUUUACACAUGCAAGUCGAACGGCAGCGCGGGCUUCGGCCUGGCGGCGAGUGGCGAACGGGUGGGUAAUACAUCGGAACGUGCCCAGUAGUGGGGGAUAGCUCGGCGAAAGCCGGAUUAAUACCGCAUACGACCUGAGGGUGAAAGCGGGGGAUCUUCGGACCUCGCGCUAUUGGAGCGGCCGAUGGCAGAUUAGCUAGUUGGUGGGGUAAAGGCCUACCAAGGCGACGAUCUGUAGCUGGUCUGAGAGGACGACCAGCCACACUGGGACUGAGACACGGCCCAGACUCCUACGGGAGGCAGCAGUAGGGAAUUUUGGACAAUGGGCGAAAGCCUGAUCCAGCAAUGCCGCGUGUGUGAUGAAGGCCUUCGGGUUGUAAAGCACUUUUGGCGGGAACGAAAAGGACUGUGCCAAUACCACGGUUCGAUGACGGUACCCGCAGAAUAAGCACCGGCUAACUACGUG
This 484-nucleotide ribosomal RNA is filed under the name uncultured bacterium. Its description in RNAcentral is "partial 16S ribosomal RNA". It matches the Rfam family "Bacterial small subunit ribosomal RNA", at positions 29 to 507 of the family's 1533-position model. The record is from RNAcentral.